Molecule: ribosomal RNA, 784 nt
Filed under: Acinetobacter lwoffii
Lineage: Bacteria; Pseudomonadati; Pseudomonadota; Gammaproteobacteria; Moraxellales; Moraxellaceae
Description: bacterial SSU rRNA
Rfam family: Bacterial small subunit ribosomal RNA
Source: RNAcentral
GCGGCAGGCUUAACACAUGCAAGUCGAGCGGGGAAGAGUAGCUUGCUACUUAACCUAGCGGCGGACGGGUGAGUAAUGCUUAGGAAUCUGCCUAUUAGUGGGGGACAACAUCUCGAAAGGGAUGCUAAUACCGCAUACGUCCUACGGGAGAAAGCAGGGGACCUUCGGGCCUUGCGCUAAUAGAUGAGCCUAAGUCGGAUUAGCUAGUUGGUGGGGUAAAGGCCUACCAAGGCGACGAUCUGUAGCGGGUCUGAGAGGAUGAUCCGCCACACUGGGACUGAGACACGGCCCAGACUCCUACGGGAGGCAGCAGUGGGGAAUAUUGGACAAUGGGGGGAACCCUGAUCCAGCCAUGCCGCGUGUGUGAAGAAGGCCUUUUGGUUGUAAAGCACUUUAAGCGAGGAGGAGGCUACCGAGAUUAAUACUCUUGGAUAGUGGACGUUACUCGCAGAAUAAGCACCGGCUAACUCUGUGCCAGCAGCCGCGGUAAUACAGAGGGUGCAAGCGUUAAUCGGAUUUACUGGGCGUAAAGCGCGCGUAGGUGGCCAAUUAAGUCAAAUGUGAAAUCCCCGAGCUUAACUUGGGAAUUGCAUUCGAUACUGGUUGGCUAGAGUAUGGGAGAGGAUGGUAGAAUUCCAGGUGUAGCGGUGAAAUGCGUAGAGAUCUGGAGGAAUACCGAUGGCGAAGGCAGCCAUCUGGCCUAAUACUGACACUGAGGUGCGAAAGCAUGGGGAGCAAACAGGAUUAGAUACCCUGGUAGUCCAUGCCGUAAACGAUGUCUACU